Capra hircus (goat) is the source of this 414-nucleotide non-coding RNA. NCBI's taxonomy places the organism in Eukaryota, Metazoa, Chordata, Mammalia, Artiodactyla, Bovidae. The record is from the annotation of a RefSeq genome assembly.
AUGCUUCUCUCCAGCCUUCUGAAGGUGGUCGUGGCUUCACUGUGUUUAGGAUCCAUUAUUGCCGAGAAGAUAACUCAAGACCCACAACUAAUGUUAGUACAAGAGAAGGAGGCUGUGACCCUGGACUGCACAUAUGACACCAGUGAUUCAAGUUAUAGUCUAUUCUGGUACAAGCAGCCCAACAGUGGGGCAAUGAUUUUUCUCCUUAGUCAGGAUUCUUAUGGCAAGGAAAAUGCCGCAGAAGGUCGCUACUCAUUGAAUUUCCAGAAAGCAAGCAAAUCUAUCACACUUGUCAUCUCAGCUUCACAGCUGGAGGACUCUGCAGUGUAUUUCUGUGCACUGAGAGAGCCCACAGUGAGACGCACGGAGGAGGGACUUGUACCAAAGCCCAGGGCUCUGCUCCACCUGCUGUAG